RNAcentral lists this ribosomal RNA (81 nucleotides) under uncultured Symbiodinium. RNAcentral's name for it is "partial Eukaryotic large subunit ribosomal RNA". The record is from RNAcentral. Lineage: Eukaryota; Dinophyceae; Suessiales; Symbiodiniaceae.
AAUGGCCAUAGUAUUCUAACUAUGUUAAGGUAGCAAAAUAAUUUGAAAUUUUAUUUGUUUCUUGUAUGAAAGUAUAAAUGA